UGUUAUGUUUUUCUUCCGGAAAAUAAGCAUUGUGGCAUACUGCAAUACAGAUUUAUUUUUUCAAGAUUCAGUUCUGCACCAGCAACUAUAUUAGUGACUUGCGCAUACUCAUAGGCAUCGACGAGACGCUGGUCGUGGGUACCUUAGGGCGGAAAUUUCUAAUUCGUUAAUCGUUCGGUUCCACACGGACAAACAAGGAAACGUAUGUUUCGAGAUGGUUCCAUUAUCAUUAAAAAAUAGUAGCUGUUGUACGAGCCAAGGAAUAGUGCCGGGAGCUGGAUAUACGAAAGGGCAAGCGAAAGGGAAUAGUUUCAGGGCCAAGAGGCGUCGCAUCGAGGCGAAAAUGCAGUUCGUUCAUCCGCUGCGUAGGAAAUAGGAUGCGGAUCUCAGAGACAGAGGAUGGAUGGACAGAGGAUAUUUUUUUCGCUAAGAAUCAGGAAAGAAGCUUUGGUGCUACAUGUGCAUAGGACAUACUGUAUUUGCACCACCAAUAUUACUGAGUUAAACGAUGAUCGAAACGAUCAUUCAUGUCGAACGAGAUAACUUGUAGCAUUCCGCCCCCCAAUACUUGGUCCGCCGUGUCGGUAACAGAAAGCUUCAAGUCGAUACUAUCCGACUUUCCAAUUCCCUUGGAAAUUCUUUCGGGUAUUCCUCCGGGAAUUACUUCGGGAAUUCCUCCGUAAAAUCCUUCGGGAAUUCCUCCGGGAAGUCUUCGGGAAUUUCAAAAUUUCGGGGCUUCCUAAUUUUUUCAAGGAUUUCUUUCGAUUCUAAGAAUCAGGAAAGAAGCUUUGAUGCAACAUGUGCAUAAGACAUACUUGUAUUUGCACCACCAAUAUUACUGAGUUAAACGAUUAUUCAUGUCGGACGAGAUAACUUGUA
This is a long non-coding RNA of Armigeres subalbatus, 879 nucleotides long. RefSeq lists it as uncharacterized. The record is from RefSeq and is a predicted model, not a curated record. The transcript is spliced from 3 exons. Lineage: Eukaryota; Metazoa; Arthropoda; Insecta; Diptera; Culicidae.